Molecule: long non-coding RNA, 1905 nt
Organism: Siniperca chuatsi (mandarin fish)
Lineage: Eukaryota; Metazoa; Chordata; Actinopteri; Centrarchiformes; Sinipercidae
Exons: 2
Source: RefSeq, a predicted model, not a curated record
UUGUUCAAUUUUAACGGCUCUCCGUGUGUUUUGCGCAGUAGUUUAGGGUUAAAGAGGUGAAACAGACAAAAGACUCGGCGUAGGUUAUUUCUCCCUUUUUAGGUCCGAGCGAGGCAGCCAUGUUGUUGGCGAUGGGUAACGUUAGCUAGGCAGUGAGUGGAUAAAUGAUACGUGGCUUUAUUAAGAGUAUAAUCGAUAAAGGUCCGAUUCCGCUAAAGGUUGCGGUCAGUUGGCAUAUGUGUCGGUUGUGUGUGAGGAAUAACGGCCGAGCGUUUUCGGUAAUGUGUUCGCCUCUGCUUGGUCGCUUUUCGGGUAGAAAGGGGAGGAUCUGGGAGUCUGGCCGCAAUAAAAUGAAGGGUCAGUCGGAUCAGACAAGCCAGAGUCUGGCUACCCAUACCCUACUGUUCCUAGUUAGCAAUAGCGCUAUCUAGCAACGCUCGGUAAACUUCAUUUCCUCGGAAAUAAACGUCUAACUUUCGCCUAACAGUUUUCCUUCCAAAUCGCGGAACCGAAUUUGUUCGCGCUUGUUUAUCGUCGACUUUAAAAAGUGUGGAGAGAAUUUUUUUAUUUUUUUUUCCAAGCCCAUGUAUUUUUUUUUCUACCCCUCCCAGUCUGCAUGCAGGCUAUGUCAGAGUCAUGGUCGGUCACCUGAAGUUCAGGGUUUUUCCCCCUUCCCUUUGCAGCCAUUCAUUGCAGACAGACUACGAUCAAUAACGCGGUUAGAAAAGGGAAACGACAGUUAUGCUCUACUACGUUGCUUAAAAUAACGCUGUGUCGCAGCAGAAACCUAUUGUAAUUCCCGUGUAUUUGAUUUUUGGUGGGAGGUUGGUUUACUUUUGUACGUUUGACCCUCCGUAUCUUGAAUGUCCGUAUUGUGUCUUAAUCAGUCCAGAUAAUGAAAAGCUGUGAUAACACACUCCGGCCACUAGAGGAUUGCUUAGAUGGUAGUGGGCAAUGACAACGGUUACUAAAGGAAUUAUCCGAGAGUGACAUUUUUUUGGUCUUGAUCAUUUCUGCUUAAUACAUGCGUAAGCAAACAGCUCAAUUAGUCAUAUUGGUAUGCAAAUGUAGUGAAUAAUUGACUGACUCAUCUUUAAAUCAACGACGGCUUGAUACAUUUAUCUUAUGACACUACCUUCUUUAUUUCUUAAAUGUCAGACCAUGCCAGCUGUUCAGCAUAAGCAGCCACGAUGAAAAAAAGGUUACUUAAAGUUGUCUCUUUUACUCAGUUUACUUACAUGAAGUUAUCUUUUAAUUUCUAAAGGGUUCGAGGACAGAAUGAGCUCCUGCACUUCUCCCAGUUUAAUAUUUCUGACACAUUAAAUAAAAAAAAUAUACAUCACAGGGUAAUUCAUGCAGCUUCACACAAUAUACACACAUUUUGUGUUUUUAUUUUUUUAGUGGUAAUAUUCACUGAUCUACUGCUCAGGUGUUUGACCUAGGGUUGAACUUGGGAAAUUGCAGCGGUUGGCUGGGAGGCAUAGAGGUGGAGACUGGGUGACAAUGACACAAAAUCACCUCUGUGAGGAGCUUCAGUAUGCCAGAAAACUACACAGCAGGGUGAUGGCCUGUUCUUUUCGCACUUGUUCCAAAGAAUGUACCCCAUCUACUUGAGAAUGCUACCGCGACAUCCACGUCUAGGUUGAAUGAGGUUACUUUGUCAACCGGAAGAAAAAUUGAUGGGAUCUGAGUUGUAUAUCAAGUGGAUUGUAAUUAGAAAUGGUAAUCGGAGCUGCAUUCAUGACAAUUUAGCCUGAAAGCAACGGGAGUUAUGUUAGUUGAACAGUUGCGGGCAUAUGCUAAUUACUCAGUGUUUGAGAAGAGGAAAUUGUGAAAAGUAAAAAAGCACUGAAAAGAUGUCACUGUUAUGUCUCUAUAGUAGCUGUAAUAAACUGGUUACCAUCA